Molecule: unclassified non-coding RNA, 160 nt
Filed under: Pasteurella multocida
Lineage: Bacteria; Pseudomonadati; Pseudomonadota; Gammaproteobacteria; Pasteurellales; Pasteurellaceae
Description: contains 16S-23S intergenic spacer region
Rfam family: Bacterial small subunit ribosomal RNA (bases 1-127)
Source: RNAcentral
GGAGUGGNUUGUACCAGAAGUAGAUAGCUUAACCUUCGGGAGGGCGUUUACCACGGUAUGAUUCAUGACUGGGGUGAAGUCGUAACAAGGUAACCGUAGGGGAACCUGCGGUUGGAUCACCUCCUUACCUAAAAUGGAACGACUGCAAGUGUNCACACAG